This 526-nucleotide ribosomal RNA is filed under the name Dothiorella iberica. Its description in RNAcentral is "eukaryotic LSU rRNA". The stretch from base 158 to 311 matches the Rfam family "5.8S ribosomal RNA". Lineage: Eukaryota; Fungi; Ascomycota; Dothideomycetes; Botryosphaeriales; Botryosphaeriaceae. The record is from RNAcentral.
CCGAUCAGCUCCGGCUCGACUCUCCCACCCUUUGUGUACCUACCUCUGUUGCUUUGGCGGGCCCGCGGUUCGGCCUCGUGCCGUCCAGCACCCGCCAGAGGACCACAAAACUCCAGUCAGUGAACGUCUCAGUCUGAAAAACAAGUUAAUAAACUAAAACUUUCAACAACGGAUCUCUUGGUUCUGGCAUCGAUGAAGAACGCAGCGAAAUGCGAUAAGUAAUGUGAAUUGCAGAAUUCAGUGAAUCAUCGAAUCUUUGAACGCACAUUGCGCCCCUUGGUAUUCCGGGGGGCAUGCCUGUUCGAGCGUCAUUUCAACCCUCAAGCUCUGCUUGGUAUUGGGCUCCGUCCUCUGGGACGCGCCUCAAAGACCUCGGCGGUGGCGUCUUGCCUCAAGCGUAGUAGAAAACACCUCGCUUUGGAGCGCACGGCGUCGCCCGCCGGACGAACCUUUGAAUUUUUCUCAAGGUUGACCUCGGAUCAGGUAGGGAUACCCGCUGAACUUAAGCAUAUCAAUAAGCGGAGGA